ACGGGUAUAGAUCAGUGGUAGACUGCAUGCUUAGCAUGCACAAGGUCCUAGGUUCAAUCCCCAGUACCUCUA
RNAcentral lists this transfer RNA (72 nucleotides) under Camelus bactrianus (Bactrian camel). It matches the Rfam family "tRNA". From Rfam's summary of the family: Transfer RNA (tRNA) molecules are approximately 80 nucleotides in length. Their secondary structure includes four short double-helical elements and three loops (D, anti-codon, and T loops). Lineage: Eukaryota; Metazoa; Chordata; Mammalia; Artiodactyla; Camelidae. The record is from Rfam by way of RNAcentral. RNAcentral also lists the same sequence under 1 other name.